This is an RNA transcript of Salvia splendens (bonfire salvia), 1901 nucleotides long. RefSeq lists it as uncharacterized. The transcript is spliced from 6 exons. Lineage: Eukaryota; Viridiplantae; Streptophyta; Magnoliopsida; Lamiales; Lamiaceae. The record is from RefSeq and is a predicted model, not a curated record.
UUAAACCUAACUUUAGUUCGAUAUUAAGUGUGUCAUUCAUACUAAUUACUAAAGCUGAAGAACUACUGCAAAAUCUUUCUGAUGCUUUACACUUGUCGAUACCCAAUAAAAUUGGAGUUGGUCUUGCUUUGUCUCAUUCUGAAGAACACGAUAUCUUCACGAUACCAGGAUGUGUGUUUGCUGUACUUGCAUCUAAAAAAGAAAUCAUGGGCCUUGGAAGCUGGUGGAGCAAUCAAUGAGUGUCAGCAAUCAAUAAGGAUCAGUCAUUAAGCAUCAAUGUGUGACUCACCUUACGUGGGGUAUUGCUUUACGAGCUGUUUUAGAUGCUUUGAGGAAGCCUGCAGAUUCAGAAGUUUGUUCCUUCCUAGUUUAUCAGUUAAUGUUAUUAUUGUGAAUUUCAGUCUUACCUUGAAUUUAUGACAUUCUGAUGUUUUCCUUUGGGAGUAUGGCAUUCGAGCAGUUUGUGGACCAUCUCAUUGAGUGGCCACAGUAUGCCAUCAUAUCCUGCACUUAGUAGCAUUUAUAGAUGGGGCACUCAACAGUAUUUCCACGGCUUAUACUGAACCUGAUGUUGGCCAUACUGCCAAUACUGGUUGUGGAUAAUACUUCUACUCCAAGUGAUUUGUGUGAACUCAUGAUCACUGCAAUUUUGUCCUUCUGGUUUCAGAUUGCAGGCCCACCAUUUUCUCUGAUCGGACCCAGCAGCAAUUAUCUGGAUUAGCAAUUCCCUCUUCGAUCCCACUGCAACAUAGACCACCAAGUUCUCUCAGUUCACUCCUAAUUACAUGAAGCCAUCACAACACACCUACCCUUCCUAAGUCACUCAGUGGUGCUUUGCUGUCAAUACAAUCUGCCUCGUCGGAUUUCCGUGGGCUUCUAGAUCAACCUCAGCAAGCAAGUAAAUAAUCAGGUUUAACUGUGCUACUCUCUCUCACUGUGCGCUUUAUGGAUUACAUUAACAUGGGGACUGGUUUUACAACCAUGAGAAGAGAAACUCCCAUAGAGGUGAUUGGAUGUAGCUAUCUUAUCAUUUUUAAUUCUCUGUUUACACUUUGUCUUGAUCCUUUUGGUUUUCCCAUGCUUUUACUUCGAGGAUUUUCUUCCUUGUUAUGAGUUAGCAAUUAAAAGUUCUAUUAAUAGCACAUUUAACUUUAUCCCACUGGUUAACUAAAAUCUCACACUUCUAAAUUCUUUCUUAACUCCCGACUACUUUCUCGUUUUCCUUUUCCCCUUUAGUUUCUUUAUUAUUUGUUUUCUUCCCUGUGCAAUGGAGGCGUUCUGAUUCUGGUUCAGGCCAUCAUGAACUUAAAGUUAUCGUGCUCAGACAAUAUUUCCUCAUACAUGGCUGUUAUCUCCUGCCUAAAAUCUAAAGCUUUAUCUAUUUGUGAUUUUUUCUGUUGCAGCUUAUGCAACUCUGUGAAGCUGAAAGUGUAUCAUACCCGGAUGACGUGGCCAGCAACACAGCAACUCAGGAUAUGGCAAAGUCAGCUGGACUCGAGCCUCUCUCGGACUAUGUUCAGAAUCUGACCGUUAAGGAAAUCAACAAUUAAUCUGGAGUCGGUCUCUAUGGUGUAGAGAUCAACCUCAAAGACUCUUAACGAUGGGAGCCAACAUAGGUAUAGUAGCAGCAGCAUUUGCAUUGGGCUUCAGUCUCGGGACCUUUCACCGAAAAUUUCUCACGCAAUUAGAAGAAAAGAUCACCUUGCCAAGUCCAAAAAAAGAUAAAUAUUAGUAGUAAAUACAAACAAACAUGAUUUUUUCAAGUGUUUAGCGAUAGUUAUAUCUUCAAACUUGAACAAGAAACUCUCUAAAUAAUAAUUUUGUUGAACAAGAAACUGUUGCAUUGUUGUUCCUGAAUGUGACCAAAUCAGUUUUUUGCCACCCUCUUCACAUAGCUCAUG